This 498-nucleotide ribosomal RNA is filed under the name uncultured bacterium. RNAcentral describes it as "partial 16S ribosomal RNA". It matches the Rfam family "Bacterial small subunit ribosomal RNA", at positions 28 to 507 of the family's 1533-position model. The record is from RNAcentral.
GACGAACGCUGGCGGCGUGCCUAAUACAUGCAAGUCGAGCGGACGAAUCGAAAGCUUGCUUUUGAUUCGUUAGCGGCGGACGGGUGAGUAACACGUGGGCAACCUGCCCUGUAGACGGGGAUAACACCGAGAAAUCGGUGCUAAUACCGGAUAACACGAAAUGUCGCAUGACGUUUCGUUGAAAGACGGCGCAAGCUGUCGCUACAGGAUGGGCCCGCGGCGCAUUAGCUAGUUGGUGAGGGAACGGCUCACCAAGGCGACGAUGCGUAGCCGACCUGAGAGGGUGAUCGGCCACACUGGGACUGAGACACGGCCCAGACUCCUACGGGAGGCAGCAGUAAGGAAUCUUCCGCAAAGGACGAAAGUCUGACGGAGCAACGCCGCGUGAGCGAAGAAGGCCUUCGGGUCGUAAAGCUCUGUUGUUAGGGAAGAACAAGUAACGCAGUAACUGGCGUUACCGUGACGGUACCUAACGAGAAAGCCACGGCUAACUACGUG